UCACUUGAAUACUGUGCUGUAGCAAAUUAAACCCAACCGGGGAACCGCCCGGACCUCCCGGCGUCCGGCUCCAUGUGCAGUCUCUUGUAGGAUUCCUCACGUACUCGCGGCUCAGUUUGCCAGCCGUUUACCGCCGCCGCCGGCAUGGCCCCUCCGGCGCUGCUCUCCCGCUUGCGCCUCGCACCUCUCCACCACCACCUGCGCCGCUCUAUCUCCGCUGCCACCCCACCACCAGACGAGUCGCCCCCUUCCCAUCCUCCCUCGCCGGCGCCGCCCUCCAACCCCAAGCUCUUCGUUGCCGGGCUGUCGUGGUCCGCAGACGAGCGGUCGCUGAUGGACGCCUUCUCCUCGUUCGGCACCGUCACCGAAGAUGAUGCGCACGCUAGGUGUUCGACGAAAUGGCUCCGAGGCCAUGGGCGUUCCCAUUCCAUCCAGCCUCACGAACUGUUUGAGAGAAUGCCUGUUAGGGACGUGGUCGCGUGCUCGUCGGCAAUCUACCGAAACGCGAGGAGCGGGUCCUUUGAUGAGGCCGUUGGGCUGUUUGUCGGUAUGAUGAGGGCAAGGGUGUGCCCAAAUUCUUUCACCUUGGUUGGUGCAUCGCUUGCAGCGGCUGGGCUAGGUGACUCCGUGCUCACUGAGUGCAUCCAUGGGUGGGCUGUCAAGAGUCGGUUGGAUUCCAAUCCUUUUGUUCGAACUGCAUUGCUUGAUUCAUAUGCGAAAUGUGGUUGCCCCAUUAAGGCGUUGGCUUUGUUUAGUGAAAUGAGGGAUCCAGGUAUAGUUACCUGGAAUUCAAUGAUCUCCGGUUUAGUGCACAAUGGUUUGUUCGAGGAGGCGUUGUUGGUGUUUAAAAGGUCUCUUCGAUCGUUUGGGCCAAUUCAUAAUGUUGUUACUAUGAUAAGCACAGCUCAAGCAUGUGCUGGUUGUGGUGAUGUUGGACUGUGUGGGACUGCACAUGCUUACACGGUCAAGAUCGGGCUUGAUCUGGAUGUAUCGGUGACAAACUCAAUACUGGGCAUGUACCUGAGUUUUGCUAGUCUUGAGACUGGAAAAGUGAUUUUCAGGAAGAUUCCAGUUAGCAAUGUUGUUAGUUGGACGAUGAUGAUGGGUUCCCUUCUCGAGAAAGGGCAUGCUGGUGAAGUUAUACAUAUGUUUGUUAAGAUGAGGUUAAAUGGCAUAGUGCCUGACAGGGUAGCUAUGGUUUGUUUGGUGCAAGCCUGUGCACUUAUGGGUGAUAAAAGGAGAGGAAAGUUGGUUCAUAACCAGAUUGUAAUCCGUGGAUUCAGUAGAGAGCUUCCUGCUGUUAAUUCCUUAAUCACAAUGUAUUCCAAAUGUGAGGAUUUAAGUUCUGCAAGAAAGUUGUUUGUUGGCACAAGGGAUAAGAGUUUGGUGUCAUGGACUGCAAUGGUGGCAGGUUGUGUAGAAAAUGGAAAUGCGCUAGAAGGGUUGCAUCUCUUUGCUAAGAUGAGGCAUGAAGGUCUGUUUGUGAUUGAUUCUGUAACAUUAGUCACCUUAUUGCUUGCCUGCUAUGUGAUUGCUAAGUUUGACCUAUCUGUUCAACUUCAUGGGUAUAGCUAUAAGUCAGGUUUGUAUCUGCACAGACCUGUUCUUAAUACCCUCAUGGCAGUUUAUGGCAAGUGUGGAUAUGUGGCUUUAGCCCAAAAAGUGUUUGACGAGAUGAUUUCUCGAGACACUGUCUCAUGGAAUACUAUGAUAUUAUCCUAUGGUAUAAAUGGCCAAGGAGAGGAAGCAAUAACACUUUUUAGCGAGAUGGAGAAAUCUAGCGAGGACCAAGACAGUGUAACAUACUUGAACACAUUGCUAGCAUGCAGCCAUUCUGGACUGGUGGAUGAUGGGUUAGUCAUCUUUAGAAGAAUGAUUAAUGAGAAAGGCAUAAAUCCACAUCAGGAGCACAUUGGAUGCAUCGUAGAUAUGUUGGCAAGAGCUGGCCGCUUGGAUGAAGCAGCAGGAGUGGCUAGCUUGACUGACAAUAAAUUGGGACCAAAUGCUUGGAAGGCCUUAAUGGGAGGGGGUCAUUUGCAUAAUGAUAUAAAAUUCACUAAAAUUGCUGCACAGAAGGUGCUUACGAUGGAAUCAUUUGAUUAUGGACAUGUGGUGUUACUUUCUAACAGUUAUGCAUCACUUGGGAAAUAUAGUGCUGCCGAAUCUGUCAGAUCCUGUCAUACAAAACAGGUUGCAAAGAAAACUCUGGGGCUUAGUUCUAUCUAGGCCAUGACAUCCAGCACGGGAUGGAAGAAUGUUCCUUCCCUGGGAAGGGGUGAGAAAUUGUGAAAAAUGGAUAAGCAUCAACACAGGUUUCAAAAGGCUCAUACGCAUUAGCAGAUUGGCUCAGACCCUCGGCCAUUGGAUAUUUGGAUCUUGAGUCUCGUGAGUCACCGCGUCGUUACUAAAAAUUCAUCUCGGUCACUUCAGGAGCCUUUUGACGUGUGACUGGAGUUUUUCAGACGUGAGAAUAAUGUACGACAAAAACUCUGGAAGGUCAAGAGGCUUUGGUUUUGUUCAGUUCUCAAAUGAUUAUGAAGCUAAGUGCGCCAAGGAUGCUAUGGAUGGAAAGGUAAUGCUAGGACGGUCGUUGAAGAUAAGUUAUGC
This is an RNA transcript of Brachypodium distachyon (stiff brome), 2607 nucleotides long. It is a transcript of the gene named glycine-rich RNA-binding protein 4, mitochondrial, with no coding region annotated. The transcript is spliced from 5 exons. The record is from RefSeq and is a predicted model, not a curated record. NCBI's taxonomy places the organism in Eukaryota, Viridiplantae, Streptophyta, Magnoliopsida, Poales, Poaceae.